GAUCCUCAUUAGAGGGCUUUCUCUUCACCCCACUAUCAGGAGUACACAUAAAAGGAGGGUCUUAAUGGCAGCUCCCAGGCCGUGGAAUUCUCUUCCACGGGAUAUUUAGCUCGUCUUUCUGCUCUCCUUCCACUAGUAGCCGAUGCAAAUAUGGAGAUAAAAAACCUUUCAUCUAUACAGCAGCUUGGCAUUAAAACGACCAUCAGUUAUGGUAAACAUUUGAACCCCUAGGAGAAAAGGCUGAAAAUGAUCUUUCCCAAGUACUAAUGAAUUGUGAGAAAUAUUUGAAACAACAACAACAUGUGUUCAUAGAGACAUCAUUACGU
Molecule: long non-coding RNA, 326 nt
Organism: Sceloporus undulatus (fence lizard)
Lineage: Eukaryota; Metazoa; Chordata; Lepidosauria; Squamata; Phrynosomatidae
Exons: 3
Source: RefSeq, a predicted model, not a curated record